GGGAGGAAGGCUCUUGGGUUGUAAACCUCUUUUCUCAGGGAAUAAAAAAAUGAAGGUACCUGAGGAAUAAGCAUCGGCUAACUCCGUGCCAGCAGCCGCGGUAAUACGGAGGAUGCAAGCGUUAUCCGGAAUGAUUGGGCGUAAAGGGUCCGCAGGUGGCAAUGUAAGUCUGCUGUUAAAGAAUGAGGCUCAACCUCAUACCAGCAGUGGAAACUACAUAGCUAGAGUGCGUUCGGGGUAGAGGGAAUUCCUGGUGUAGCGGUGAAAUGCGUAGAUAUCAGGAAGAACACCGGUGGCGAAAGCGCUCUACUAGGCCGCAACUGACACUGAGGGACGAAAGCUAGGGGAGCG
Molecule: ribosomal RNA, 351 nt
Filed under: Nostoc sp. CCMP2511
Lineage: Bacteria; Bacillati; Cyanobacteriota; Cyanophyceae; Nostocales; Nostocaceae
Description: bacterial SSU rRNA
Rfam family: Bacterial small subunit ribosomal RNA
Source: RNAcentral